RNAcentral lists this long non-coding RNA (21251 nucleotides) under Vitis vinifera (wine grape). Its description in RNAcentral is "long non-coding RNA (VVIN_LNC006446)". Lineage: Eukaryota; Viridiplantae; Streptophyta; Magnoliopsida; Vitales; Vitaceae. The record is from RNAcentral.
GGCUGCUGUGGGAACAAAACAAGGCCUUGGAAUUAAUGGAUGCAUGUUUGGAAGAUUCAUGUGUUGCAUCACAGGUAUUACGAUGCAUACAAGUAGGUUUACUAUGUGUUCAGAACCUUCCAGCAGACAGACCAGCAAUGUCAUCAGUGAUUUUCAUGUUGGGUAAUGAGGGAGCAACAUUGCCUCAACCUAAACAUCCUGGUUUCUUCACGGAAAGAAGUUCAGUGGAUACAGAUACAAUGUCAGGAAAGAUAGAGUUACAUUCAGAAAAUGAAGUAACCAUCUCAAAGCUAAAAGGUAGAUGGAGAAUUCAAACAUCUGCUUAGUGAAUUAGUUAUGCAGGUGCCAGCUUCUCUGACUGAAACGGCUUGCAAAGGUUCCUCUGUUGCAGCUCAGGGCACUGAAAUCUGCAACUUAAGACUCACUAGUAGAAUUUCUAAAUUCAGAUUCCCUCUGGAUCUGGUUGGUAGUAAGCAGAAGAACAUGUAUUCUACAGUCACUUUAUAUUCCACUUGUUGUAGAAGCCCAAUUGGGGCUACAGCCGAACGCCCAUUAAAAGCCCAAACCAAUUGAGCCUAGAGGAUGAGUGACAAAGCCCAAUGCAAUCUCAAGGCAAGGUGUUUGUACCUUGCAUUUGAUCCACUGAGCUUUAAAAGCAAAGGUGAGGCCAUUGAGCUCUAUGUCAUGCUAAAGUAAUAGCGUUGUAAAAUUAAAUACAUAGCAAGAUUAAUGGUUUUUCUUCAAAAAAUUUUUAUGUAAAUGUUUACAUUCAUGUUUAUUUUCAUAAUAAUAAUUAUUAAAUUAAUAUAAUAAUUUUAAAAUAAUAAAAUAUAAAAAUAAAGAGAUAAAGUUAAAUAUUAUGAUUUUCUUUUUGUCUUAAACAUAUCUUUAUAUUUAAAUAUUAUAUAUGUUCUAUUUAAUAAAUUUUAAAAUAUUAAUAUAUUUAUAUUUAUCUUUAUAAUUUAAUUUGGUAUGUGCAAUAUAAAACUGAAAUAUUAUUAAAAUUUGUAAUUAUAUAUUUUAAAUUUCUUAUAAUUUUUUUUUUGUAUAAUCUAUAAAUUAUAAAAUUAUUAUUUUACCAGUUUUCGUGAAUGUAACAACCUACAUCUCACAACUUUAAAACAUAUUUACAAAUUAAGAACUCAUACAUAUAUAGCGCCAAGAUAAAGGAGAAAGUUUCUAACACUAUAUAAGCAUAAACUCUUUUUAACUACAAAGCUUUAAAAAUUUUUGCGAAACAUUAACUUGAAUGCUAGACAGUUGCAAACCUUAGUGGGAGUUUUCAAAUUUUUUAAGAGAGAGAAUCAUGGUUUAAAUAUUGGUAAAUAUGGAAUAUUUGUACCUAAAUUUUACAGAUAUAUUGGAAAUAUCGGUGAAUAUUUUGACAAAAAUAUUGAUAAGACAAAAAUUAUUCAAAAUUUAUAAAAAUAUUUUUAAAAAUUAAAAAAAUGAUAAAAUAAAUAAAAAUACACAUGUUAAAGUUAUUUUCUAAACAUAAUUGAUAUAGAUAUGAUCAAAUAGAAAAAUAUCGAUAAGUAAGGAUAAAUCAAUCUUAAUAAUUUAUUAUUUAUCCAAUCAAAUUAAUUUUAAUUUAUAAAAUAUUAGAAUUUCAUUAUUUUUGAAUAAAUUUAUAUUUUUAAUAUUUUAAACACAUUCCUAUGCGAAAAUAUCAGAUACUUUUUAAAUAACAAUGAAAAGUUCUUACAAAAAAUAUAUCUUAAUAAGAAAAUAUCAAAGACUUACAUAUUAUUUCGAAAAGAAAUUUAAAACACUUUCCAACAUAUAAAGUGCUUUAUUCAACCAAUAGUAACAAAGACGAGCUUUGACUUGGACUGAAAGCCUGGCCAAGUAAAAAACUGAAACCUUGUCCUCUUGAUGCUGUGUCUUGGACAAAUUCCAGGAAAAACCUACAUUAGAGAAAUUUUAGUAUUUUUUAAAACUAGUGUAUAGAAGUCUUCCUUUCAUCUGUGAGAAGCGUCAAUGGAGACCCAUCUUUUCUUUGCCUUCUUUUGUGCCUGGAUUUGUCUCUCAGUUCCGUUGGAGUCCUGUAUUCCAGCUGAUUCCAUAAGGAUUGACCAACCCAUAGGCGAUGGUGAGACUUUAGUUUCCUCAGGCCAAAGCUUUGAACUAGGCUUCUUCUCUCCUGGCAGCUCCAAAAACAGGUACUUAGGAAUAUGGUACAAGAAUACACCCCGGAUAGUUGUAUGGGUUGCAAACAGAAACAACCCGAUCGCAGAUUUGUAUGGAGUUUUAACCAUCUUCAACAAUGGCGCACUUGUUCUUCUCAACCAGUCAAAGAGUGUAAUCUGGUCUCCCAAUUUGUCAAAGGUACCAGAAAAUCCAGUUGCACAGCUCCUGGAGACUGGAAAUCUUGUUCUCAGGGACAGUAGUAAUGAAAGUUCUGAAAGCUAUAUAUGGCAGAGCUUUGAUGAUCCAUCAGACACAAUGUUGCCAGGCAUGAAGGUGGGAUGGAACUUAAAGACUGGUCUACAACGAAAAUUGACAUCAUGGAAAAGUGCUGAUGACCCAUCCCUUGGAGACUUCUCCUACGGAUUUGAUAUUAAUGUGCUGCCUUAUGUGGUUCUCGGUGUGGGAUCAAGGAAAAUAGUCCGUUCCGGGCCAUGGAAUGGACUUGAAUUCAAUGGUGUUUAUGUGUUGGACAACUCGGUUUACAAAGCAGUUUUUGCUGCCAACAACGAUGAGGUAUAUGCCCUCUAUGAGUGUCACAACAAUAAGAUCCUUUCAAGACUAACAUUGAACCAUUCAGGUUUCAUCCAGCGUCUGGUAUUAAAAAAAGGGAGCUCUGAAUGGGAUGAAUUGUACUCAAUUCCCGGUGAACUUUGUGAAAAUUAUGGCCAUUGUGGUGCUAAUGGUAUCUGCAGAAUUGGCAAGCUGCAGACUUGUGAGUGUUUGACGGGUUUCACACCAAAAUCACAAGAAGAAUGGGACAUGUUUAAUACAUCAAGUGGAUGCACACGAAGAAUGCCUUUGGAUUGCCAAAUUGAAAAGGGAUUUGUAAAGGUUACAGGAGUGAAAUUGCCCGACUUGAUAGACUUUCAUGUGAUUAUGGAUGUGAGCCUUAGGGAAUGCAGGGUAUCGUGCUUGAACAAUUGUUCUUGUACAGCAUAUUCCUACUCAAAAGCAUAUGCCUACUCAAAUCCUAAUGGAAACGGUGGCUGUUUGAUGUGGUCUGGGGACCUGAUUGAUAUCAGAGAGUUAACUUCAGAAAAACAUGCGGAGGACAUCUAUAUCCGCAUGCACACUUCAGAGCUGGGUAAGACACUUGAUUUUCUGUAAAUCACUUUUUGAUUGUAAGCUAUUGGGGUUGUCUCCAAUAGCCUAAGCCCUAAGUUAUCCUGGUAAAUCAAGAUGAAGAAUUACUUAGCUUCCAAAGUCAGGGAUUCAAUUUCACAAGAAGAUUAUAAUCUAGUUAAAACCAAGACCCUAUAUUAUAUUCCAGAAUAACCAUAGCUGUUAGGAUUCAGGUUAACUAAUGAUGAACUGACUUGUAAUAACCCUAACAAGCAGAAAGCAAAUAUCCAAUUCAUUUUCUGAAGAAACAGGGAAAUCUGGGGAAAUGGUUACUUCAUUCUUGUUACUGUCUGGUCCAGGGUUAAACACUUAUCAGAAGAAAAAACUAGUGAUCAUCCUUGUUAUAUCUACCUUUUCUGGAAUCCUCACCUUGGGCUUAGCAGUCUGGUUUCUAUUUCGGAAGAAGAGAACAAUGAGAACAGGUAUGCAUACUUAUCCACCUUGAUGAUUUUAUUGAAGGAACCAUGUGGUUGUGCUUUAAAAGUAGCUUCUAAAUUAUUUUCCCAUUUAACAGAUCAGGAAAGCAAGAAGGAGAAUUUAGAGUUACCUUUGUUUGACUUGCCCACCAUUGCAACUGCUACUAAAAACUUCUCCAACACCAAUAUGAUUGGAGCAGGUGGCUUUGGGUCUGUGUACAAGGUAAUAUGUGCCAUCUUAUGCAUCAGGAUAACCCAAAAAUGAUUUCAAAAGAAAGAAGAAGAGAAAAAUAAUUGCGUCUUGCACAUCAUAUUUUGCAGGGCAAUCUAUCCGGAGUAGCAGUAGCAGUGAAGAGAUUGUCCAAGAAUUCAGCACAGGGUGUGCAAGAGUUCAAGAAUGAAGUUGUUUUGAUUGCGAAACUUCAGCACAAGAAUCUUGUCAGGCUUUUGGGCUGCUGCAUUCAAGGAGAAGAAAGAAUAUUACUCUAUGAAUAUAUGCCCAACAAAAGCUUGGAUUAUUUUAUUUUCGGUUUGAGCUUCUUAUCCCUAUCUGUUAGAAUUAGUUUCAUUUUUUGAUCACCCAUAUUAUGCUCAGUCGUGUUCAACUCAAUUCACACAUCUAAGUAAUUAAUUACGCCUAAUAAAAAAAUUUUAUAAAGGUAGAUGUAUUGUGCAGAUCAAAUCAGAAGAGCAUUAUUGGCAUGGGAUAAGCGCUGCAAGAUUGUUACAGGGAUAGCACGAGGGCUUCUCUACCUCCAUCAAGACUCUAGAUUUCAAAUUAUUCACAGGGAUCUCAAGACGAGCAAUAUUUUACUGGAUGACAAUCUCAAUCCUAAAAUUUCAGACUUUGGCUUGGCAAGAAUUUUUGGAGAGAAUGAAAUGGAAACGAGAACAAAGAGAAUUGUUGGGACUUAGUAAGUUAUAAACCUUUAUAAUCUUAUAAAAUGAUAUUUAUCCCUUCAAAGAACUUACACUUGAAAAUGUUGGUGCAGUGGCUAUAUGUCCCCAGAGUAUGUGAUUGAUGGGCACUUUUCUGUCAAAUCAGAUGUCUUUAGCUUUGGUGUUCUUUUACUAGAGAUUGUUUGCGGUAAAAAGAACCGAGGGUUCUCUCAUCCAGAUCACCACCAUAACCUUCUGGGACAUGUAAGUAGAAAGAACGCAAUGGUGUUUUCUCUUUCUCUCCCUCUCUCAAUUUUUCUCUACUCUAGCUUUUUCUGGCUUUUGUGAAAGAUAAUAAAUAUGAUUUUUGCGCUAGGCAUGGCUGCUGUGGGAACAAAACAAGGCCUUGGAAUUAAUGGAUGCAUGUUUGGAAGAUUCAUGUGUUGCAUCGCAAGUAUUACGAUGCAUACAAGUAGGUUUACUAUGUGUUCAAAACCUUCCAGCAGACAGACCAGCAAUGUCAUCAGUGAUUUUCAUGUUGGGUAAUGAGGGAGCAACAUUGCCUCAACCUAAACAUCCUGGUUUCUUCACAGAAAGAUCUUCCGUGGAUACAGAUACAAUGUCAGGAAAGAUAGAGUUACAUUCAGAAAAUGCAGUAACCAUCUCAAUGCUAAAAGGUAGAUAAAGAAUUCAAACAUCUGCUUUGUGAAUUAUUUAUGCAGGUGCCAGCUUCUCUGACUAAAACGGCCUGCAAAGGUUCCUCUCUUGCGGCUCAGGGCACUGUAAUCUGCAACUUAAGACUCACUAGUAGAAUCUCUAAAUUCAGAUUCCCUCUGGAUCAGGUUGGUAAUAAGCAGAAGAACAUGUAUUCAAACAUCUGCAACUUAUGUGCUACUCUCUUUUUUUUUUUUUUGUGUCUCCUCAGGGUGCAUAGGACUUAUAAUUUGGUUCCAACCUUUUACUUUCAAUUAUCUCGAGAAUUUUUGAAGUUCUAAAGUCCUUUGAAAUAUCAAUAGGAAGUAAAGAUCAGACAAUAAAAACUAAUCAAAUAAGGCUUCUACUUGUGACUGUUAUAAAGCCAUAGGAUGAUGGCUUGCAAUAAUUUCAGGUAAAUAGGGGUAAGAAUUGAAAAUCAACAAAGACAAGUAGGAAUCAGAUGACUUCAUAUGAAUUCUGUUGUCUCUUUGUGUAUACUGAAAAUUACAGUUUACUCAGCAGUAGGUAAUGUGCUUCUGCAAGAUCUCUCUAACAUGAAACUAAAAGAGUUCUUCAUCCCAAAAACACACACGCACACAAAGAAUCUUCAUGUCCAAAUGACAAUUUUUCUUCAAGUUAGUAUUGUUGGAACCAAUGAUUCAUUUAAUACCGAGGCUCAAAAAAGAAUUCCUUGCAAUGGAGAUCAACACAACUCCCAUACAUUUAAGAUGAAUUGACAUUUGUGAAAAAUUUAAGAGGAACCAAUGUUUUGAAAACUGGACCGUGUACUGGCCAUCUCUCUGGUCCGGUUUGCCCCGGGAACCGUUUUCAUGUUAAAACGGUGUUGAACCGCUGAACCGUCCAGCUUCCUAAGAACCGGUCAAGCCCAAGCCUGGGCCAAACUUCCACUUGCCGUAGAAGCCCAAUAGGGGCUACAGCCAGACACCCGUUAAAAGCCCAAACCAGUUGAGCCCUAGAGGGUUUAAACGAGCACCAAAGCCCAAUCCAAUCUCUAGGCUAGGUUGCUUUUUGUGUUGCAAGGUAUUUGAGGCUAGGUUUGGGCCAAACUUCCACUUGCUGUAGAAGUCCAAUAGGGGCUGCAGCCAAACACCCAUUAAAAGCCCAAACCAGUUGAGCCCUAGAGGGUUGAAAGGAGGGCCAAAGCCCAAUCCAAUCUCAAAAGCCCAAACCAGUUGAGCUUGUGCAGAGAUUUGAUCCACUGACUCCAGCUUUAAAAGCAAGGAUGAGGCCAUUGAGCUAUAUGACAUGCUAAUAAAGUAAUAGCGUUGUAAAACUAAAUAUAUAGCAAGAUUAAUGGUUUUUUUUCAAAAAAUAUUCGUGUAAAUAUCUACAUUCAUGUUUAUUUUUAUAAUAAUAAUUAUCAAAUUAAUAUAAAUAAUUAAUAUAAUAAAUUUAAAAUAAUAAAAUACAAAAACAAGGAGAUAAAAUUAGAUAUUUUGAUUUUUUUUUUUGUCUUAAACAUAUCUUUAUACUUAAAUAUUAUACAUGUUCUUUUUAAUAAAGUUUAACAUAUAUAUAUAUAUAUAUAUAUAUAUAAUAUGAAAUUAAAUAUUGUUAAAAUUUGUAAUGAUAUAAUUUAAAUUUCUUAUAUUUAUUUUUUUAUUUUAUAUAAUAUAUAAAUUAUAUAAUUAUUACAUUAUUAGUUUGAUUAUAACUAAGUCAUCGAUUCGAAUAGUGAAUCGAAAAUCAAUAAUAUUUUUUAUUCAAUAAUCCAUCCGAUUCUAAAAACAUUGGAAGGAACUUAAGAAGUUGUAUACCCUAGUUUGUUUUAAGAAACUUAUCUAUAACCAAUUUUGUUAACUAUUUUGCAAUUUAAACAUGCUUGAAUUGGUCAAGUUGAGAAGUGUGGCAUCCACCUUAGUAGACUUGACAUUGGACACUGGAAAGUCCAAGUGAUCCCUUGUCAGUUUUACACUGACGGGAUGGAUUCUAUUGACCGUAGUAUGGUAGUUCUGCCACAUGCUACACUAGAAACUACAGAAUUCAAUUAUCCUACUUCACUUGUUCAUGAUCUAUACCUAUAUAUUUUCAUCCAUCUAAUAAAAUCUAUCUUAUCAGCAAGUAGAAAUGUUGAUAGACAACCGUAUCAUCUCCGCCUUCGUUUUUGCCUUGAUUUCUUUCUUAAUCCUCUUGGAAUUCUCGAUUGCAUUUGAUACUAUAGUUAAGAGUCAAUCCUUAAGUGAUGGCGAGACUUAAGAAUCCUCAGGCCAAAGCUUUGAGCUAGGCUCCUUCUCUCCUGGAAAGUCGAAGAAUAGGUACUUAAGAAUAUGGUAUAAAAGUACCCCACAGACAGAUGUUUGGGUUGCAAAGCAGAUUCUUAUGGAGUUUUAACUGUCACCGAUAGUGGAGAACUUGCUCUUCUCAAUCAAACAAAGAGUGUACUUUGAUCUUCAAAUUCAUCAAAGAGUAGCAGAAAAUCCAGUUGCACAGCUCCUACAGACUGGAAACCUAGUUCUCAAGGAUGAUAUUCAAGAGAGUUCUCAGAGUUAUCUAUGGCAGAGCUUUGAUCAUCCAACAGACUCAAUGUUAGCAGGAAUGAAGAUAGGCAGGAACUUAAAGAUUGGCUUAGAACGAUAUUUAAAAUCAUGGGAAAGUGUUGAUGAUCCAUCUAUCAGAGAUUUCACUUACAGAAUUGAAGUUCGUGGGCUGCCUCAAAUGGUUGUUAGCAUGGGAUCUGAAAAAAGGCAUCGCUCUGGGCCAUGGAAUGGAACUCAAAACAAUGGUCUCCCAAUGGGCCAGCUUUUGUAUUUACUGAGGAUGUGUUGUUUAUACUGCAUGAGCCUAACAAUGAACCACUCAGGUUUGCUCCAGCGUCUUGUUUUGCACCCAAGAAGCUCUGAAUGGGUUGUCAUGUACUCAAAUCCCGAUGACCCUUCUGACAGGUAUGGGCAGUGUGGUGUUAAUGACAUUUGCAAAAUCAACAAGUCACCAAUUUGCGAGUGUUUGACAGGGUUUGCACAAAAAUCACAAGAGAAAUGGAAAGUACUUGAUGCAUCUGAUGGUUGCAUGCGAAGAAUGUCGUUGGGCUGCCAUAGUGGAGGGGUGUUCGUAAAGGUUGCAGGAGUAAAAUUUCCCGACUUGAUAAGAGUGUCAUUUGCAUAAGAGUAUGAGCCUUAAGGAAUGAGAGGUGGAGUGCUUGAAGAAUUGUUCAUGUACAGCAUAUGCUAAUUCAAAUUUUAAUGGAAGCUGUUUGAUGCGGUUGGGUGACUUAAUCGAUAACAGAGAGUUGACUUCAGAAAAGAGUGGUUAUUCGGUUGCUUGGUGUGUGCAGGUCACAGAUACUUGGGGCGUUGCUCAUUUUUUUAUGCGGUUCAAUUUUCAUAUGCUAGUUAGGGAAUGUUUGGUUUAGACGAGUGCUUGUUAAGAUAUUUGCAUACUGUAUUUGAGGGUAUUGAGAAGGUUUAUGUAAUUUGUAUUUUGUCACAAAAUGAUUAAAAAAAAAAGGGAGACUAUUGGCACAUUAGGCUAUGUAGCUUAAGAUUUGCGUACAGUUUUGUUUUAUUCAUUAGGAUUUAAGAUCUUUUUAGAGUGUCUUAUUUUUCAUUUAAGACUUGAGGUUGCUAGCUACUUGAUUCAACUAGGGUGACACAGAUAAACAUAGAAAGUUUCAAAAAAAGGCAACUCAGUGAUUGUUAAGGUGUGGGAUACACCUAGGUUUUAAAAUUGAACUAAAAAUUAUUUAAUUUGUGCUUGAAAACUCCUUAGUGCUCAAGCAUUGAGAAGCACUCAAGCACUCGAGUCUUUUAAGGGCGCUCAAGCACUAAGGAGCACUCAAGUACUCAAGUCUUCUAAGGGCACUUGCUUAUGGAAGAAUUCUCCUAAAUUCUAGUGAUCGGUCUUUUCCAUUUUAAAAAGGCUUAUUUUUAACAAUUGUCUAGAUCCAUUCAUGAGAUUUUCCUAGGCCCAUACAAAUUUUGCCUAAAAAGGUUCUUGGGUUGAUGCUUUUGAGUUAAACAAAUAUAUAUAUAGAUAAAAUUUACCUUCAUGUUCCCAAAACUCUUAAAGAAAUUCAUUGUUACUUUUAGGGUUGUGAAGCAGAUCUACAUCCCCUUGAUCCACUAAGAGCACACGAGGUGAUGCGUCAUUGACAUGAAGUGGAGUGUACAUGCUAGGGAGUAAGACUUAGGAAUAACUUAUGUUACGUAAAAUUGUGUAUUGUACUUUCAUAUAUUGGAUUAACAAUUUGAGAUCUUUAACUCGGUGGCUUUUACAACCACACAUUACGUGAAACAAUGGUUUGUACAUCUCUUUUAAGUGUUACAUAUACUAGCUAGAUGAUAAAACUUUUGAGCCUCUAUUAUCUCUACUAUAGAGACUUCAAAGCAAAAUGAGUGAAAAAUUAUUAAUAGGCCCUUGUGCUUGGCUUAGGAUCAAUUUCAUCAAAUAUUUUAGGAGAGACAACAUAUAACAAGUCAAAAAGUAGAUAAUUACAACUAAUUUGCUUGUAUGUUUGUGUUUUUAUUAAACAAUUCUAGUUUAAAAAGUGUUUUUGACAAAAAAAAUUUAGGUAUUUGAUAAAAUUUAAAAAAACACUUCUACAAAAUUGAAAAAUAAUUUGUAGUGUUUCAUGGAGAAACACUUUAUAAAUAAUUUUUUUAAAAACACUUAAAAAAAAAUGUUUUCACUAAAAAUACUAUGAUGAGAAAAACUAAAACACACUCUUUAUCAUUCCAUCAAUAUUUUCAUCCUUAGCAUUCUAGGCUCAAGAAACUUCCUAUACGAAUUGGAAAUGUCAUAGAAGGAAAUAUAUUUAGAAGGGAAUCCUGACAAAAAGUCUUUCAAAGCCCCUACAUGAUGUUUGAGUGAUACUUGGUCUCUACAUUGAACGGGUUUUUUUUCCUAUAUCCCCUAGAGACAAAAAAAAUCGGAUAUAAUUUCAAAUGGUUUUCCAAAUAAUGAAUGGGAGGUUCCAAGACUUUAAGGGGAAGAAAAGCAGCAGCCCUGUUGGGGAAAAUCACAUUCGUCAGCAUGAAUAGGAUGAGGGUGCUUGCUACUUAAUGGUUCCACUUAGUAAUUAAAUUUAGUACAAAUUUAAUCAUGUUGGGCUGAUGGACCACAACUACACCAGCAACAAAAGGCGGUUGCAACAACAGAACUCAACAAAACCCAGAUCACUCAAGAACUAUGCAAGUAGUUAGGAAUCUGGUAGUGUAUUUUGAAUUGUGCAAGUAGUUAGAGUCUAGUAACGUAGUUUGUUACAAUAAAAAAUAUAAAUAGCAGAGUAAAGAACCUCUCCAUGAUAUAUGAUUUCUUCCUCUUAAUAUAUAGAAACUAGAUUUUCAUCUUCCUGAUACAAACUUUCAUGGUAUCAGAGUUGCCCCUCUUCAUAUCUCCUUCUCUUUGCAUCAGUUUCAUGAUUUCACCAUGACAAUCUCAACUCAAUCCUCUGGGAUACAAGUUGGAGCUGCCAAUUCAUCCUCAACCAUAGCUUAGUCAAUGCAGAUGUUGAAUCAUGCACUGCCCAUUAAACUUGAUAAAGAUAACUACAUGUUGUGGAUAACCCAAAUGGAGAACUUGAUCUAUGCAAACGGCUUGAAGAUCAUGUUGAAGGUCCUACAGUCCGUCCUUCAAAAACAACAAGCAAUGGUGAAACAAAUCCAGAAUUUAUUCUUUGGCAAAGAUUUGACUGAAUGAUCCUCAGUUGGAUUUACUCCUCACUUAUUCCAGAAAUUAUGGGACAAAGAAUAGGGUAUCAAACCUCCCAUGAAGCAUGGUUUUCUUUGGAAAAGAUUUUCUCGGCUUCAUCCAAAGCUCGGGUGAUGCAAUUACAACUAGAAUUUCAGACCAUGAAGAAAGGAUCUCUUUCAAUGAUGGAUUACAUCCUCAAGUUGAAGAAUCUGGCUGACAGCUUAGCUGCCAUUGGAGAACCAGUACACAAUAGAUAUCAUAUUCUGAAACUGCUAGGAGGGCUUGGUGUAGAAUAUAAUUCCAUUGUGGCCUCUCUUAUAGUAAGAGAAGAUGAAGUUUCACUACAUACGGCGCAUAGGAUUCUAUUAACCUAUGAACAACGCUUGAAUCUUCAAAAUUCAACAAAAGACAAUGUAAUCUCUACAAAUCUCACUACCACGUCGUCAUAUCACCACAAAAACAGAAGGAAUUCCAAUCGAAAUUUCUUAGGAAACAAUAGUAGAAUCUUCAACCCUGGACGUAACUCUCAUGCAAACAGAAACUCAACCUCUCAAAAUUGCCCUCAAUGUCAACUUUGUGGAAAGUUUGGACAUGUUGUGGAUCAGUGUUAUCAUCAUUUCGAUAUAAACUUCCAAGGGGUAAAUAACAAUUUUGAAACCAAGUCCCAUGUAACUAACAAUAACCAAGAUCAAGCCCACGCCAUGAUAACAUCUCCUACCCACUCAUCAGCUUUCUCAAACCACAUCUCUGGACAAUUUACAAUCAUAUAAUGGCAAUGACAAGGUGACAAUCGGGAAUGGUACGCAACUUCCCAUUCUUCAUACUGGUACUAAAAUUUUUCAGUUUCCUUCUAAAGUGUUUCAGUUAAAAAGAGUUCUUCAUGCACCUCAUCUUGCAACCAAUCUUGUUAGUGUCUCUCAAUUCUAUGUUGACAACAAUACAUUUGUUGAGUUUCAUCCUCAGUUCUUUUUUGUCAAAGAACAAGUUACCAAGAAAGUUCUUCUUGAAGGUCAUCUUGAACGAGGAUUAUAUAAGUUUCCUACCAUUUUUAGCUCCUCUACAGAUUGCUUGUUCUUCAACUUCAACAACUCUUCAUUUUCAAAUUCCACGACUGAGCUUUGACAUUCUCGAUUGGGCCAUCCUGCUGAAGAUAUAUUUUGAAACAUGCUCUCAACAAUUGUAAUAUCCCUUAUCAAUAUAAUAAACUCCAAAUUUGUUGUGUCUACCAAUAUGCCAAAAGUCACAAGCUACCAUUUUCGUUGUCUAUGUCAAGAGCAUCUCAUCCUUUAGCACUUGUUCAUGCUGAUAUCUGGGGUCCUGCAUCCACUCCAUAUACUUUUGGUGCACGAUUUUUUCUACUACUCAUAGAUGAUUUCUCAAGAUUUUCUUGGAUUUAUCCACCACACACCAAAGAUUAAGAACUUCCGAUGUUGUAAAAUUUCGCACUUCAGUGGAAAAACAGCUUGACUUCAAAAUUAAGAGCCUACAAUCAGAUGAUGGUGGUGAAUUCAAAGCAUUUUCUUCCUAUCUUGUUGCUCAUGGCAUAGAACACAGGUUUUCCUACCCAUACACACCUGAACGGAAUGGGUGAGUCGAGCGGAAACUGAGACAAGUUACAGAAACUGGUCUUGCUCUUCUAACUAAAGCCUCCUUACCUCUCUCUUUUUGGUUGUAUGCUUUCCAUACUGCUAUAUUUCUCAUCAACUGUCUACCUACCAAGAUGCUUAAAUAUCAAUCUCCCUUUCAAACUCUUUUUGGGAAAACUCCUUAUUAUCAUUUUCUCAAGACAUUCGGUUGUCUUUGCUACCCAUAUAUUCGACCAUAUAAUAAGCACAAAUUGCAAUAUCGUUCUACUCUGUGCAUCUUUCAUGACUAUAGCAACACUCACAAGGGAUAUUUAUGUUUCGAUCCAAAAACUACCAGAUUAUACAUAACCAGACAUGUUGUCUUUCAUGAAUCAAUCUUUCCAACUCUAUCACCUUCAACUUCUUCUAAUCCUAGUUUUUUUCCGUUUCCACUCCUGUUUUUCUUCCCAUACACAUGUCUCCUUCUCAUGCUUUACAUUCUAUUGAUGCUCAACAACAUAACCCCACACCUUUGUCUUCAUCACUUCACUUAUCUUUUGACCACAUCCUUCCUACUAUACAUAACAAUGUUCCUCAACAUCCUCCCAUUAUUAAUAGUCAUCUUAUGAUCAUGCGUGCCAAGGAUGGCAUUAUAAAAAAGAAGGCCUUCUUGUCUCACAUGCCCAUGGAACUAGCAACAUUUGCUUAGGCUUCCAAAAGUAUCUACUGGACCAAGGCUAUGCAACAAGAGUAUGAUGCUCUACUAAAAAUGGAAACAUGGAAUCUAGUUCCUACUCCUCCAAAUGCCAAUAUUAUUGAUUGCAAAUGGGUCUACAAAUUAAAACAUAACCCAGAUGGCACCAUUGCUCAUUCCAAGGCUCGCCUAGUUGCCAAAGGUUUUACCCAAACACAUGGCCUUGACUACUUUGAGACUUUCAGCCUCGUUGUCAAAGCUUCAACCAUCAGAAUAGUGCUUGCUCUAAUUAUCUCAUAUAAUUGGACAAUUCGUCAGCUUGAUGUAUAGAACGCCUUCCUCAACGGUGACCUCCAAGAGCAGGUCUUCAUGAGCCAACCACCUGGUUUUAUCAACACCCGGUUUCCUACUCACGUCUGCAAACUUAACAAAGCCAUUUAUGGGCUUAAGAAAACUCCUAGAGCAUGUUACACCAAGCUCGGUCAUGCUCUUCUUGGCUGGGGUUUUCAAGCUUCCUGUGCAAAUAGCUCCAUGUUUUUUCCUCACAUUGCCAACGAUGUGCUUAUCUUGUUAAUCUAUGUUGAUGACAUCCUCGUAAUAGGUAGUGACCCUCAUCGUGUUUCUUCAUUUGCUUCUUGUCUUAAUGCUACAUUUGCUCUUUCGAGAUCUUGGUCAUUUUCACUAUUUUCUUAGUCUGGAGAUUAUGCAAGCAGAAAACUCAGUCCAUUUAAAUCAACACAAAUAUGUCCACGAUCUUCUUCAAAGUACCAGUAUGUUUGAAUCCAAGUAUGCUUCUACACCUGGUAUGGUUGGUCAAAAUUUAUCCAAACAUGAUGGAGGUCAUUUCCAUGAUGUCACACUAUAUCAGAGCAUAGUUGGUGUUAUUCAAUAUCUCACUCUCAUAAGACCUGAUAUUUCAUUUGUUGUCAACAAGGAGUGCCAGUUUAUGAGUAGCCCCUCCAACACACAUUGGCUUGCUGUAAAAUGCAUCUUACGCUACCUCAACUUAUGGUCUUUCCAUGUAACCAUCUUCCGCGUUGGACAUUCAAGCAUACAUUGAUGUCGAUUGGGCUUCUUGUCCAAAUGACAGAAGAAGCACUAGUGGCUAUUGUAUUUUCAUUGGACCAAACUUGGUUUCAUGGUCAUCCACUAAGCAGAAAAUUGUUUCAAGGAGCAGUGCGGAAUCUGAGUAUCGUGGACUAGCUGUUGCCACUUUCGAGAUUGCCUGGAUUCAAUCUCUACUCACCGAGUUAUGUCUUUCUCCUACAAUACCACCAAUUCUUUGGUGUGACAACCAAAGUGCUACCCAUCUUGCUGCCAAUCCUGUUUUUACACACCAACAAAGCAUAUUGAACUCGACCUUCAUUUUAUUCGUGAUAAAGUUCUUCAGAACCAACUCCAUAUUCAGUAUCUUCCUUCUUCCGACCAAAUUGCUGACAUCUUCACCAAACAUAUCUCAAGUUCUUAGUUUUUUUAGCUUUCGGACCAAAUUCUCUAUUGUUUCCAAACCCAUGAGCUUGCGGGGGGAUGAUAGACCACAACUACACCAGCAACAAUCACAACUGCACCAGCAACAGAAGGCAGUUGCAACAAUAGAACUCAACAAGACCCAGAUCACUCAAGAACUGUGCAAAUAGUUAGGAAUCUGGUAGUGUAGCUUGAACUGUGCAGGUAGUUAGAGUCUGGUAACAUAGUUUGUUACAGUAAAAAAAUAUAAAUAGCAUAGUAGAGAACCUCUCCAUGAUAUGUAAUUUCUUCCUCUUAAUAUACAGAAACUAGAUUUUCAUCUUCCUGAUACAAACUUUCACGGGCCAACCUAAUGUUGUUUAAUCUAUUUAACCGUGGAAAUUAGGGAAGUCUUUGAAGAAAAUGAUGGUCAACUUCUUCUACAUUAGAUUAUGCUUUACCUACGGACUAUGCUUUUAAGUCUCAAGACAUUUUGAGAGCCAAUUUUGUUUUUUCCGUUAAGAUAUGGUUAAACCUCGAUAAAUUGAUAUAGGUUUGCUCUAUGGAAAAUCUAUGAAUUAAGCUAAUAUUACUUACUCAUGUGAACUAAUGCAGCUUGAACAUGGCCUACCGAGUCAACAUCAUAAUUAGGUAUGGGUAUAACAACCAAAUACAGAAAGGGGUCCGAGUCCAAUAUAGACAUACUAGUCCCUGUCACGAAAAAGAUGUAGAUGAAGUUGUCAAGGGUCAGUAUAGAAGCUCCGAUGCAAGUGUUUCCUCUUGGUUUUUUCAGAAUUGUAAAUGGAGGGGCUUCCUUUCUUCACCUUCUUUUGCUCUUUGAUUUCUUCCUCAAUCUUCUUGAAAUUUUGUGUCGCAUCAGAUACCAUAACUCCAACCCAGUCCAUGGUUGAUGGUGAGACUUUAGUUUCAUCAGGCCAAAGGUUUGAACUAGGCUUCUUCUCGCCUGAAAACUCCAAGAACAGGUACCUAGGAAUAUGGUACAAGAGUGCCCCACAUACAGUUGUGUGGGUGGCAAACAGAAACAACCCCAUCACAGAUUCACAUGGAGUUUUAACUAUCAGCAUAAACGGAACACUUGUUCUUCUCAACCAGGAAGGGAGCGUGGUCUGGUAUUCGGGUUUAUCAGGAAUAGCAGAAAAUCCAGUUGCACAGCUCCUAGACUCUGGAAACUUUGUUCUGAGAGAUAGUCUUAGCAAGUGUUCUCAAAGCUAUCUCUGGCAGAGCUUUGAUUACCCAUCUGACACACUGUUAGCUGGCAUGAAGCUAGGCAGGACCUCCAACCCUGAUCUAGAACGAUAUUUGAUAUCAUGGAAAAGCCCUGAUGAACCAUCCAAUGGAGACUUCACUUGGAGAUUAGAUACUCCCAGGCUGCCUCAACUGGUUGUUGCAACGGGAUCAACCAAAAAGUACCGCACUGGGCCAUGGAAUGGAAUUCGAUUUAGUGGUAUUCCGGUGUUUCCCAACGAGCAGCACUAUUCACACAUAAUGAUCUUUGAUAAGGAGAAUGCAUAUUACAUGCUUUCAUUUGACAACUACUCUGCUAAUACGAGAACAACCAUCAAUCACUCAGGCUUCAUCCAAUGGCUUCGAUUGGAUGAACACAAUGCGGAGUGGGUUCCUUUGUACAUAUUACCAUAUGACCCAUGUGACAAUUAUGGACAGCGUGGUGCUAAUAGCAUUUGCAGGAAUUCCAGAACACCAAUCUGAUUAAUAAACCUACAAAAUCAUUCAAAUUGGAUUUGAUUAAACCCAGGUAUCAUAGACAUUCCCUCAUUUCCACCUCGGAACAUUUUUUGUUUCCCAUUUAUCGAAAAAAAUCUCAUUAUUGUAAUUGGAUUGGUUCAUUCUUCAUCAAAUCAUAUGGAUCGAUCAAGAUCUAGCAAUGAUGGAAUUUAUAAAUCGCAUGAAGUUUUACCCAACUCCAUAAAUCCAAUCUAAUGCAUUAAAUACAUAUGAUUGGAGGAAUAAAGAGAAAUCAUCUACGUUUCAGCUACUCAUAAGUUCUCUGCACACAUACAAACACAAGGGAAAGUGAGGAAUGAAGCAAUUAAACCAAAGUGAUUUAACAAUUUUUUAUUGUGAAGAAGAAUUUAGUAUUUUAAGCUUUAGUUUGACUCAAUUUUUUCCGUUCACUUGGAAAAAAUUGAAUCUGAAGCUACCUAGAAGCUAACCAGAAAGGACAUGUCAUCAUUGUUCUUUUAACUAUAAAUUUUAUUUUGGGCAUGGCCUAGGUUGAGAAAGGUCCAAUAAGGAUUAGAAAAGUCAUGGAAAGAGAUGUAUAUAGAAGGGAAUCUCAAUAUAUAAAAGUGAUAAAUCAAGUUCAUUCGUCCGCAUGAAAAGGACCAGGGUCGACUUCAUAAUAGUUCCUACUUUCAAAGCGUGGAAAUUAGGGAAGGCAAUUGCGGUCGUGUUCUGCCACCUAGGGUAGGUAAGACCAUUGCAUUUGACUCUCUACCUCAUGUUCAUGUGAUGAUUAUGACGUAGGUGGACAACUGUUUUAUCAGAUUAGAAGCAUAGAAUUCCAAGAAUAUUGAAGACAAAUCAAGGGCAAAAGAAGGCGAAGAUUAACAGAUGGAUUAUUACUCAGAAAGGAAACUAAGGGUGAAUCUUCCCAGACAAUGACACAGAAAUGGGUGAUGGGUGCUGCCGUCCCUUUUUCAAGGCUGCUGUAUCCCAUACAGUUAAUCAAUCUGUACGAAAUUAAUGUUUUAUUGUUUUAAGAGACUUCAAUUUUGUUCAAACCUCUCACCAGUCUUAUGGUGUAUAAUCCUGUGAAAUUAUAACUGAAAAAAGUACUACCCUCCACCUCCAGAGUAUAUAGUCAUCCCAUCUUAGACUCGGUAACAGAUGAUUCACAUAGGCUCUUUCCUUAGGACUAAUAUGGAAUGAAUUCAGGUAAAUGGAGAUAGAUGUUUAUCAAAUUAACAGAGGCAAACCAGACAUCAAGAUUGGCGUGCCAAGCAACCAUUGAGAUGCUAAAGUUCCAGGCCCUAUGACACAAACUCAUUUCAGACAGUAUGAUCUUCUGACUUCCCUUUUUUAAAAAGAAACAUUCAAUUAGGGAACACUUAGGAGGACUCUACAAUUUUAUAUUUCAGUAAGUUGUUUUUCAUUGGACUUGGAAAAUUCCUAGUCACCCUGUUGAGACAGUUCUUCCAAUUGAAAUGCUUAAGCCCUUAAACCUACAUAACGUCAGUACUUUUUUUUUUAAGUAGUGUAUAGAAGUAUUUCUUUCAUCUCUGAGAAACGUUCGAUGGAGACCCAUCUUUUCUUGGCCUUCUUUUGUGCCGGGAUCUGUCUCUCAGUUCCCUUGGAGUUCUGUAUUGCAGCUGAUUCCAUAAGGAUGGACCAAUCCAUAAGCGAUAGUGAGACUUUAGUUUCCUCGGGCCAAAGCUUUGAACUAGGCUUCUUCUCUCCUGGAAGCUCCAAAAACAGGUACUUGGGAAUAUGGUACAAGAAUACACCCCAGACAGCUGUAUGGGUUGCAAACAGAAACAACCCAAUUGCAGAUUCUUACGGAGUUUUAACCAUCAUCAACAAUGGGGCACUUGUUCUUCUCAACCAGUCAAAGAGUGUAAUCUGGUCUCCCAAUUUGUCAAGGGUGCCAGAAAAUCCAGUUGCACAGCUCCUGGAGACUGGAAAUCUUGUUCUCAGGGACGGUAGUAAUGAAACUUCUAAAAGCUAUAUAUGGCAGAGCUUUGAUGAUCCAUCAGACACAAUGUUGCCAGGCAUGAAGGUGGGAUGGAACUUAAAGACUGGUCUACAACGAAAAUUGACAUCAUGGAAAAGUUCUGAUGACCCAUCCCUUGGAGACUUCUCCUACGGAUUUGAUAUUAAUGUGCUGCCUUACCUGGUUCUCGGUGUGGGAUCAAGCAAAAUAGUCCGUUCCGGGCCAUGGAAUGGACUUGAAUUCAAUGGUGUUUAUGUGUUGGACAACUCGGUUUACAAAGCAGUUUUUGUUGCCAACAACGAUGAGGUAUAUGCCCUCUAUGAGUCUAACAACAAUAAGAUCAUUUCAAGACUAACAUUGAACCAUUCAGGUUUCCUCCAGCGUCUGCUAUUAAAAAAAGGGAGCUCUGUAUGGGAUGAAUUGUACUCCAUUCCCAGUGAACUUUGUGAAAAUUAUGGCCAUUGUGGUGCUAAUGGUAUCUGCAGAAUUGGCAAGCUGCAGAUUUGUGAGUGUUUGACAGGUUUCACACCAAAAUCACAAGAAGAAUGGGACAUGUUUAAUACAUCAAGUGGAUGCACACGAAGAAUGCCUUUGGAUUGCCAAAUUGAAGAGGGAUUUGUAAAGGUUACAGGGGUGAAAUUGCCCGACUUGAUAGACUUUCAUGUGAUUAUGGGUGUGAGCCUUAGGGAGUGUAAGGUAUCGUGCUUGAACAACUGUUCUUGUACAGCAUAUGCCUACACAAAUCCUAAUGGAAGCGGUGGCUGUUUGAUGUGGUCUGGGGACCUGAUUGAUAUCAGAGAGUUAACUUCAGAAAAACAUGCAGAGGACAUCUAUAUCCGCAUGCACACUUCAGAGCUAGGUAAGACACUUGAUUUUCUGAAAAUCACUUUUUGAUUGUAAGCUAUUGGGUUGUCUCCAAUAGCCUAAGCCCUAAGUUAUCCUGGUAAAUCAAGAUGCAGAAUUACUUAGAUUCCAAAGUCAGAGAUUCAAUUUCACAAGAAGAUUAUAAUCUAGUUAAAACCAAGACCCUAUAUUAUAUUCCAGAAGAACCAUAGCUGUUAGGAUUCAGGUUAACUAAUGAUGAACUGACUUGUAAAAACCCUAACAAGCAGAAAGCAAACAUCCAAUUCAUUUUCUGAAGAAACAGGGGAAUCUGGGGAAAUGGUUACUUCAUUCUUGUUACUGUCUGUUCCAGGGUUAAACACUAAUCAGAAGAAGAAAAAACUAGUGAUCAUCCUUGUUAUAUCUACCUUUUCUGGAAUCCUCACCUUGGGCUUGUCAUUCUGGUUUCGAUUUUGGAAGAAGAGAACAAUGGGAACAGGUAUGCAUACAAAUCCACCUAGAUGAUUUUAUUGAAGGAAAACCAUGUGGUAGUGCUUUAAAAGCAGCUUCUAAAUUAUUAUCCCAUUUAACAGACCAGGAAAGCAAGAAGGAGAACUUAGAGUUACCUUUGUUUGACUUGCCCACCAUUGCAACUGCUACUAACAACUUCUCUAACACCAACAAGAUUGGAGCAGGUGGCUUUGGGUCUGUGUACAAGGUAAUAUGCGCCCUCUUAUGCAUCAUUGCAUCUUGGUAACCCAAAAAUGAUUUCAAAAGAAAGAAGAAGAGAAAAUAUUUGCAUCUUACACAUCAUAUUUUGCAGGGCAAUCUACCAGAAGGAGUAGCAGUUGCAGUGAAGAGAUUGUCCAAGAAUUCAGCACAGGGUGUUCAAGAGUUCAAGAAUGAAGCUGUUUUGAUUGCAAAACUUCAGCACAAGAAUCUUGUCAGGCUUUUGGGCUGCUGCAUUCAAGGAGAAGAAAGAAUAUUACUCUACGAAUAUAUGCCCAACAAGAGCUUGGAUUAUUUUAUUUUCGGUUUGAGCUUCUUAUCCCUAUCUGCUAGUAUUAGUUUCACUUUUUGAUCACCCAUAUUAUGCUCAUUCAUGUUCAACUCAAUUCACACAUCUAAGUAAUGAAUUAGGCCUAAUAAUAAAAUUUAUAAAGGCAAAAGUAUUGUGCAGAUCAAAACAGAAGAGCAUUAUUGGCAUGGGAUAAGCGUUGCGAGAUUGUUAUGGGGAUAGCACGAGGGCUUCUCUACCUCCAUCAAGACUCUAGAUUUCAAAUUAUUCACAGGGAUCUCAAGACAAGCAAUAUUUUACUGGAUGACAAUCUCAACCCUAAAAUUUCAGACUUUGGCUUGGCAAGAAUUUUUGGAGAGAAUGAAAUGGAAACGAGAACAAAGAGAAUUGUUGGGACUUAGUGAGUAAUAAACCUUUAUAAUCUUAUAAAAUGGAAUUUAUCCCUUCAAAGAACUUAUACUUGAAAAUGUUGGUGCAGUGGCUAUAUGUCCCCGGAGUAUGUGAUUGAUGGGCACUUUUCUAUCAAAUUGGAUGUCUUUAGCUUUGGUGUUCUUUUACUAGAGAUUGUCAGUGGUGAAAAGAACAGAGGGUUCUCUCAUCCAGAUCACCACCAUAACCUUCUGGGACAUGUAAGUAGAAAGACCGCAAUGGUGUUUCCUCUCUCUCUCUCUCUCUCUCAAUUUGUCUCUACUCUCUAGCUUUUUCUAGGUUUUGUGAAAGACAACAAAUAUGAUUUUUGUUCUAGGCAUGGCUGCUGUGGGAACAAAACAGGGCCUUGGAAUUAAUGGAUGCAUGUUUGGAAGAUUCAUGUGUUGCAUCGCAAGUAUUACGAUGCAUACAAGUAGGUUUACUAUGUGUUCAAAACCUUCCAGCAGACAGACCAGCAAUGUCAUCAGUGAUUUUCAUGUUGGGUAACGAGGGAGCAACAUUGCCUCAACCUAAACAUCCUGGUUUCUUCACAGAAAGAUCUUCCGUGGAUACAGAUACAAUGUCAGGAAAGAUAGAGUUACAUUCAGAAAAUGCAGUAACCAUCUCAAUGCUAAAAGGUAGAUAAAGAAUUCAA